AGAGUUUGAUCAUGGCUCAGGACGAACGCUGGCGGCGUGCUUAAUACAUGCAAGUCGAGCGAGGUUACUGUGACAGAUCCCUUCGGGGUGAAGUUGCUUUAACCUAGCGGCGGACGGGUGAGUAACGCGUGGGUAACCUACCCUAAAGUUCGGGAUAACAGCGGGAAACCGCUGCUAAUACCGGAUGCCUUUACCGUGUGGCAUCACAGGGUAAAGAAAGGUAACGCUUUAGGAUGGGCCCGCGUCCCAUUAGCUAGUUGGUGAGGUAACAGCUCACCAAGGCGACGAUGGGUAGCCGGCCUGAGAGGGUGGACGGCCACACUGGGACUGAGACACGGCCCAGACUCCUACGGGAGGCAGCAGUAGGGAAUAUUGCGCAAUGGACGGAAGUCUGACGCAGCGACGCCGCGUGAGCGAUGAAGGCCUUCGGGUUGUAAAGCUCUGUCCUUGGGGAAGAAGGUCUUCGGACUUGACGGUACCCAAGAAGAAAGCCCCGGCUAACUACGUGCCAGCAGCCGCGGUAAUACGUAGGGGGCGAGCGUUGUCCGGAAUUACUGGGCGUAAAGGGUGCGUAGGCGGCCCUUUAAGUCAGAUGUGAAAGCCCGCAGCUUAACUGCGGAAUUGCAUUUGAAACUGGAGGGCUUGAGUGUCGGAGAGGGUAGUGGAAUUCCCAGUGUAGCGGUGAAAUGCGUAGAUAUUGGGAGGAACACCAGUGGCGAAGGCGACUGCCUGGACGAUAACUGACGCUGAGGCACGAAAGCUAGGGGAGCAAACAGGAUUAGAUACCCUGGUAGUCCUAGCCGUAAACGAUGGGUACUAGGUGUAGGUGGUUUCGAUACCAUCUGUGCCGUAGUUAACGCAUUAAGUACCCCGCCUGGGGAGUACGUGCGCAAGCAUGAAACUCAAAUGAAUUGACGG
This 918-nucleotide ribosomal RNA is filed under the name uncultured bacterium. Its description in RNAcentral is "bacterial SSU rRNA". It matches the Rfam family "Bacterial small subunit ribosomal RNA", at positions 8 to 916 of the family's 1533-position model. The record is from RNAcentral.